GAUGAACGCUAGCGGCAGGCCUAACACAUGCAAGUCGAGGGGUAUAAGGAGCUUGCUCCUUAGAGACCGGCGCACGGGUGCGUAACGCGUAUGCAAUCUACUUUGUACAGAGGGAUAGCUCAGAGAAAUUUGGAUUAAUACCUCAUAGUAUAUGAUUUUGGCAUCACUAUCAUAUUAAAGAUUUAUCGGUACAAGAUGAGCAUGCGUCCCAUUAGCUAGUUGGUAUGGUAACGGCAUACCAAGGCAAUGAUGGGUAGGGGUCCUGAGAGGGAGAUCCCCCACACUGGUACUGAGACACGGACCAGACUCCUACGGGAGGCAGCAGUGAGGAAUAUUGGUCAAUGGGCGCAAGCCUGAACCAGCCAUGCCGCGUGCAGGAUGACGGUCCUACGGAUUGUAAACUGCUUUUAUACAGGAAGAAACACUCCUUCGUGAAGGAGCUUGACGGUACUGUAAGAAUAAGGAUCGGCUAACUCCGUGCCAGCAGCCGCGGUAAUACGGAGGAUCCAAGCGUUAUCCGGAAUCAUAGGGUUUAAAGGGUCCGUAGGCGGUUUUAUAAGUCAGUGGUGAAAUCCGGCAGCUCAACUGUCGAACUGCCAUUGAUACUGUAGAAC
RNAcentral lists this ribosomal RNA (614 nucleotides) under uncultured bacterium. RNAcentral's name for it is "bacterial SSU rRNA". It matches the Rfam family "Bacterial small subunit ribosomal RNA", at positions 28 to 641 of the family's 1533-position model. The record is from RNAcentral.